GUCCCCCUGCUGCUCUCAGCUGGUUACAGGGUGGUGCUGAUAAUGCCAAGGUUGCAGGUUUGAUCCCGCAUGGGACA
Molecule: non-coding RNA, 77 nt
Organism: Podarcis lilfordi (Lilford's wall lizard)
Lineage: Eukaryota; Metazoa; Chordata; Lepidosauria; Squamata; Lacertidae
Source: the annotation of a GenBank genome assembly